AACGAACGCUGGCGGCGUGCCUAACACAUGCAAGUCGAGCGAGAAAGCCCGCAAGGGUGAGUAAAGCGGCGCACGGGUGCGUAACACGUGAGUAAUCUGCCCUGAAGUCCGGAAUAACUCGCCGAAGGGCGUGCUAAUGCCGGAUGAGACCACGGGAGCCUCGGCUCCUGCGGGAAAAGGUGGCCUCUGUACACAAGCUAUCGCUUCAGGAUGAGCUCGCGGCCCAUCAGCUCGUUGGCGGGGUAAUGGCCCACCAAGGCUACGACGGGUAGCUGGUCUGAGAGGACGAUCAGCCACACUGGAACUGAGACACGGUCCAGACUCCUACGGGAGGCAGCAGUGGGGAAUCUUGCGCAAUGGGCGAAAGCCUGACGCAGCAACGCCGCGUGUGUGAUGAAGGUCUUCGGAUCGUAAAGCACUGUCGCGAGGGACGAAUAAGGGGCGGGCUAACAUCCCGUUCCGAUGACGGUACCUCGAGAGGAAGCACCGGCUAACUCUGUGCCAGCAGCCGCGGUAAUACAGAGGGUGCAAGCGUUGUUCGGAAUUAUUGGGCGUAAAGCGCGUGUAGGCGGCUUUGUAAGUUGGGUGUGAAAGCCCUCGGCUUAACCGAGGAAGUGCGCCCAAAACUGCAUGGCUUGAGUACCGGAGAGGGUGGCGGAAUUCCCGGUGUAGAGGUGAAAUUCGUAGAUAUCGGGAGGAACACCAGCGGCGAAGGCGGCCACCUGGACGGAUACUGACGCUGAGACGCGAAAGCGUGGGGAGCAAACAGGAUUAGAUACCCUGGUAGUCCACGCCGUAAACGAUGAGCGCUAGGUGUUGUGGGUGUUGACCCCCGCAGUGCCGCAGCUAACGCAUUAAGCGCUCCGCCUGGGAAGUACGGCCGCAAGGCUA
This 891-nucleotide ribosomal RNA is filed under the name uncultured bacterium. Its description in RNAcentral is "bacterial SSU rRNA". It matches the Rfam family "Bacterial small subunit ribosomal RNA", at positions 28 to 896 of the family's 1533-position model. The record is from RNAcentral.